RNAcentral lists this ribosomal RNA (387 nucleotides) under uncultured bacterium. RNAcentral describes it as "bacterial SSU rRNA". It matches the Rfam family "Bacterial small subunit ribosomal RNA", at positions 30 to 419 of the family's 1533-position model. The record is from RNAcentral.
AUUGAACGCUGGCGGCAUGCCUUACACAUGCAAGUCGAACGGCAGCACGGGGCAACCUGGUGGCGAGUGGCGAACGGGUGAGUAAUGCAUCGGAACGUGCCAUUGAGUGGGGGAUAACGUAGCGAAAGUUGCGCUAAUACCGCAUAUUCUGUGAGCAGGAAAGCAGGGGACCGCAAGGCCUUGCGCUCUUUGAGCGGCCGAUGUCAGAUUAGCUAGUUGGUGAGGUAACGGCUUACCAAGGCGACGAUCUGUAGCGGGUCUGAGAGGAUGAUCCGCCACACUGGAGCUGAGACACGGUCCAGACUCCUACGGGAGGCAGCAGUGGGGAAUUUUGGACAAUGGGCGCAAGCCUGAUCCAGCCAUGCCGCGUGAGUGAAGAAGGCCUGG